This 433-nucleotide ribosomal RNA is filed under the name uncultured bacterium. Its description in RNAcentral is "partial 16S ribosomal RNA". It matches the Rfam family "Bacterial small subunit ribosomal RNA", at positions 29 to 507 of the family's 1533-position model. The record is from RNAcentral.
AACGAACGCUGGCGGCAUGCCUAACACAUGCAAGUCGAACGAGACCUUCGGGUCUAGUGGCGCACGGGUACGUACGGCGGGGUAACCUGCCCUUGGGUUAGGAAUAACUCCCCGAAGGGGAUCCUCAUACCGCAUAGUCUCUUACGGCCAACGAUUUUUCGCGUUUGGAUGGGCCCGCGUUGGAUUCGCUAGUUGGUAGGGUAUAAGCCGGCCAACGCGACGUUCCAUAGCUGGUCUGAUAGGAUGAUCAGCCACACUGGCACUGCGACCCGGCCCAGACUCCUACGGGGCGCAGCAGUGGGGUAUACUGGACGCUGGGCCAAGGCCUGAUCCAGCCACGCCGGGGGAGUGAGGAAGGCGUUAGUGUUGUAAAGCCCUCUUUCCCGAGGUGAUAAUGACAGUACCGGGUGAAUAAGCUCCGGCUAACUCCGUG